UACUUCCUACGGGGGGCAGCAGUGAGGAAUAUUGGUCAAUGGUCGGGAGACUGAACCAGCCAAGCCGCGUGAGGGAGGAAGGUACAGAGUAUCGUAAACCUCUUUUGUCAGGGAACAAAGACUGGGACGCGUCCCCGGAUGAGUGUACCUGAAGAAAAAGCAUCGGCUAACUCCGUGCCAGCAGCCGCGGUAAUACGGAGGAUGCGAGCGUUAUCCGGAUUUAUUGGGUUUAAAGGGUGCGCAGGCGGCGAGUUAAGUCAGCGGUAAAAUUUCGGGGCUCAACCCCGACGAGCCGUUGAAACUGG
This 305-nucleotide ribosomal RNA is filed under the name uncultured bacterium. RNAcentral describes it as "bacterial SSU rRNA". It matches the Rfam family "Bacterial small subunit ribosomal RNA", at positions 333 to 636 of the family's 1533-position model. The record is from RNAcentral.